UUUGAAAACUAAUUUAUACUUUCACAUACAUAUGCGUAGUUGCUAGCAAAUUGCGUUUACUUUCUUGUUCACUUAGCUUCACACUUUAGGUGUAUGUGUGUAUAUAUUGUGUACUUUAGUCAUAGGAAACGUUUUUAUUUUUCGAAAUGAUAUAGAAAAAUAAAUGCAGAGAACACUAUUUAGCAUACAUAAUUUUAAGCUUUUAGCUUCUUUUCGUAUAUGUAGUCAUUUUUGCAUUAAAGUUAAUUUGCUUUUUCAAAUAAAUAGCAAUUGUUUUUUGCAUGUGUUUUUAUAUUUAUUUAGAUUUUAGCAUUCAGGCGCGUUUUACUAGGCCUAAACAGCGCAUGCUCUAAGGCUUUCUUGCAAACCAUUUAAUAUUUAGUUUGAUUUUAAUUUUG
Molecule: long non-coding RNA, 398 nt
Organism: Drosophila arizonae
Lineage: Eukaryota; Metazoa; Arthropoda; Insecta; Diptera; Drosophilidae
Source: RefSeq, a predicted model, not a curated record